GGACGGUGAAGAUUGAUAUUUGGUCUCAACUGGCAUUUAUUUGCCUUGCCGACCAUCCUGCUAUAUCACCACCCAUAUUCUGUGUCC
Molecule: small nucleolar RNA, 87 nt
Filed under: Hordeum vulgare subsp. vulgare (domesticated barley)
Lineage: Eukaryota; Viridiplantae; Streptophyta; Magnoliopsida; Poales; Poaceae
Description: Small nucleolar RNA Z43
Rfam family: Small nucleolar RNA Z43
About the family: Z43 is a member of the C/D class of snoRNA which contain the C (UGAUGA) and D (CUGA) box motifs.
Source: Rfam by way of RNAcentral